UAACUGUCACGUAUCACGUUCUGAUUGGAUGAUGACUGUCACAUGUCAUAUUCUAAUUGGUCAAUGAAAACAGCAAUGCAUUUCAUCUUUCAUGGAGUUGACAUCCAAUCAGAACAUGACACGUGACAGUCGUCAUCCAAUAAGAACGUGACAUAUGACAGUCA
This 164-nucleotide microRNA precursor is filed under the name Glycine max (soybean). RNAcentral's name for it is "miR1520e stem-loop (gma-MIR1520e)". The stretch from base 19 to 138 matches the Rfam family "MIR1520 microRNA precursor family". The record is from miRBase by way of RNAcentral. Lineage: Eukaryota; Viridiplantae; Streptophyta; Magnoliopsida; Fabales; Fabaceae.